RNAcentral lists this ribosomal RNA (117 nucleotides) under Pteropus alecto (black flying fox). Lineage: Eukaryota; Metazoa; Chordata; Mammalia; Chiroptera; Pteropodidae. The record is from RNAcentral.
AAAAAUGGUACUACCACUGAACAUGCCCGAUCUUAUCUGAUCUUGGAAGCUAAGCAGGGUCGGGCCUGGUUAGUACUUGGAUGGGAGACCACCUAGGAAGACCAGGUGCUGUAGGUG